RNAcentral lists this ribosomal RNA (955 nucleotides) under uncultured bacterium. RNAcentral describes it as "bacterial SSU rRNA". It matches the Rfam family "Bacterial small subunit ribosomal RNA", at positions 535 to 1501 of the family's 1533-position model. The record is from RNAcentral.
CGGACGUUGUCCGGAUUUAUUGGGCGUAAGAGCGUGUAGGCGGCCUGGAAGGUCAGCUGUGAAAACUCGAGGCUCAACCUCGAGACGUCGGUUGAAACCCCCUGGCUAGAGUCCGGAAGAGGAGAGUGGAAUUCCCGGUGUAGCGGUGAAAUGCGCAGAUAUCGGGAAGAACACCCGUGGCGAAGGCGGCUCUCUGGGACGGUACUGACGCUGAGAAGCGAAAGCUAGGGGAGCAAACGGGAUUAGAAACCCCGGUAGUCCUAGCCGUAAACGAUGGAUGCUAGGUGUAAGCAGAUCUAACCCUGCGUGUGCCGAAGCUAACGCGUUAAGCAUCCCGCCUGGGAACUACGAACGCAAGCUUAAAACUCAAAGGAAUUGACGGGGACCCGCACAAGCAGCGGAGCGUGUGGUUUAAUUCGAUGCUACACGAAGAACCUCACCCAGGUUUGACAUGGCGGUGGUAGUGAAGCGAAAGCGGAACGACCCGCAAGGGAGCCGUCACAGGUGUUGCAUGGCUGUCGUCAGCUCGUGUCGUGAGAUGUUGGUUUAAGUACCCUAACGAGCGCAACCCUCGUUGCCAGUUACAGGUGUCUGGCGAGGCUGCCGGCCGCGAGCCGGAGGAAGGCGGGGAUGACGUCAAGUCAGCAUGGCCUUUAUAUCUGGGGCUACACACACGCUACAAUGGGCCGCAACAAUGGGUCGCCAAACCGCGAGGCGGAGCCAAUCCCAUAAAACGGUCCUCAGUUCAGAUUGCAGGCUGCAACCCGCCUGCAUGAAGUCGGAGUUGCUAGUAAACGCGCGUCAGCUAUAGUGCGUUGAAUACGUUCCCGGGUCUUGUACACACCGCCCGUCACACUAUGGGAGCUGGCAACACCUGAAGCCAGUAGCGUAACCGCAAGGAGCGCGCUGUCAAAGGUGGGGCUGGUGACUGGAGUGAAGUCGUAACAAGGUAACC